RNAcentral lists this long non-coding RNA (448 nucleotides) under Pongo abelii (Sumatran orangutan). RNAcentral's name for it is "lincRNA". The record is from RNAcentral. Lineage: Eukaryota; Metazoa; Chordata; Mammalia; Primates; Hominidae.
GGAGGAAUCUGGAAUAUUUCAAGAUAAGGUCCAAUUCUUCCAUUGUCUCGUAAUCCAGUGCAGAGAUGUGAAAUGUAAGAUCAUCUGAAGGGGAGCUUUGGUUCAAGUCAAACGCAUGCCUCAACCUAGCAGAGCCAAAGAGAUACUUGUAUGAUGUAAGUCAGAUUAUGUCAUUCUUCUGCUCAAAACUCUCCAAUAAAUAGCUCACUAUUCCCUUCAGAGAAAAGCCAAAGGACUUAAAAUGGCCAACAAAGCCUAUGAUCUGCACCCCCCUCCUCCCUCUACCUCACUUCAUCUUUCUCCCUGACUCACUUGGUUUCAGUCCUACUUGCCUGGUAUGUUUCUUCAAUUACACUCCCAUUUCAGGACCUUUGCACUGACUGUUUCCUCUGCCUGGACCCCACUUGCUCCAGCUUUGCACAUGGCUACCUCCCUUACUUUCUUCAGG